RNAcentral lists this transfer RNA (69 nucleotides) under Ovis aries (sheep). It matches the Rfam family "tRNA". Rfam says of the family: Transfer RNA (tRNA) molecules are approximately 80 nucleotides in length. Their secondary structure includes four short double-helical elements and three loops (D, anti-codon, and T loops). Lineage: Eukaryota; Metazoa; Chordata; Mammalia; Artiodactyla; Bovidae. The record is from Rfam by way of RNAcentral.
CCUGGUGCCUCAGUCGGUAAAGCAUCUGCCUGCAAUGCAGGAGACCCAGGUUCUAUUCCUGGGUCAGGA